RNAcentral lists this non-coding RNA (204 nucleotides) under Pseudomonas sp. Lineage: Bacteria; Pseudomonadati; Pseudomonadota; Gammaproteobacteria; Pseudomonadales; Pseudomonadaceae. RNAcentral also lists the same sequence under 1 other name. The record is from RNAcentral.
CAUUCGAUCGUCCCUCAGGGUUCGCCAUACACUGGCGUUAAACGGGAAGCCGGUGGGCGCUUAACGAGCUACCCCGGCACUGCCCCCGCAACGGUAAUCGACCGCAGCGUGCUGCACCACGCUCCACAGGCCACUGGAUCAAUCCGGGAAGGCGGAGCGAGGCAGGUCGAGAGUCCGGAGACCGGCCCUGAGUGGAUCUGACAG